UACGGAGGAGGCAAGCGUUAUCCGGAAUCACUGGGCGUAAAGCGCGUGUAGGCGGUUCGGCAAGUCGGCUGUGAAAGCCCGAGGCUCAACCUCGGAACUGCAGCCGAAACUGCCGGGCUCGAGUCCCGGAGAGGGUGGCGGAAUUUCCGGUGUAGAGGUGAAAUUCGUAGAUAUCGGAAGGAACACCAGAGGCGAAGGCGGCCACCUGGACGGUGACUGACGCUGAGACGCGAAAGCGUGGGGAGCAAACAGG
RNAcentral lists this ribosomal RNA (253 nucleotides) under uncultured bacterium. RNAcentral describes it as "partial 16S ribosomal RNA". It matches the Rfam family "Bacterial small subunit ribosomal RNA", at positions 524 to 776 of the family's 1533-position model. The record is from RNAcentral.